CCUAUGGGUGGCAGCAGUGGGGAAUAUUGGACAAUGGGCGAAAGCCUGAUCCAGCCAUGCCGCGUGUGUGAAGAAGGCCUUCGGGUUGUAAAGCACUUUCAGUGGGGAAGAAAGCCUUGGGGCUAAUACCCUCGAGGAAGGACAUCACCCACAGAAGAAGCACCGGCUAACUCCGUGCCAGCAGCCGCGGUAAUACGGAGGGUGCGAGCGUUAAUCGGAAUUACUGGGCGUAAAGCGCGCGUAGGCGGUCUGAUAAGCCGGUUGUGAAAGCCCUGGGCUCAACCUGGGAACGGCAUCCGGAACUGUCAGGCUAGAGUGCAGGAGAGGAAGGUAGAAUUCCCGGUGUAGCGGUGAAAUGCGUAGAGAUCGGGAGGAAUACCAGUGGCGAAGGCGGCCUUCUGGACUGACACUGACGCUGAGGUGCGAAAGCGUGGGUAGCAAACAGGAUUAGAUACCCGAGUAGUC
This 465-nucleotide ribosomal RNA is filed under the name Vreelandella stevensii. Its description in RNAcentral is "partial 16S ribosomal RNA". It matches the Rfam family "Bacterial small subunit ribosomal RNA", at positions 338 to 795 of the family's 1533-position model. The record is from RNAcentral. Lineage: Bacteria; Pseudomonadati; Pseudomonadota; Gammaproteobacteria; Oceanospirillales; Halomonadaceae.